GUCCAUAUAGCUUAUAAUAAAGCAUGACACUGAAGAUGUCAAGAUGGCUGCCACAAACACCUAUGGACA
RNAcentral lists this transfer RNA (69 nucleotides) under Dicrurus macrocercus (black drongo). RNAcentral describes it as "tRNA-Phe". It matches the Rfam family "tRNA". Rfam says of the family: Transfer RNA (tRNA) molecules are approximately 80 nucleotides in length. Their secondary structure includes four short double-helical elements and three loops (D, anti-codon, and T loops). Further hydrogen bonds mediate the characteristic L-shaped molecular structure. tRNAs have two regions of fundamental functional importance: the anti-codon, which is responsible for specific mRNA codon recognition, and the 3' end, to which the tRNAs corresponding amino acid is attached (by aminoacyl-tRNA synthetases). tRNAs cope with the degeneracy of the genetic code in two manners: having more than one tRNA (with a specific anti-codon) for a particular amino acid; and 'wobble' base-pairing, i.e. permitting non-standard base-pairing at the 3rd anti-codon position. The record is from RNAcentral. Lineage: Eukaryota; Metazoa; Chordata; Aves; Passeriformes; Dicruridae.